Molecule: ribosomal RNA, 253 nt
Filed under: uncultured bacterium
Lineage: Bacteria
Description: partial 16S ribosomal RNA
Rfam family: Bacterial small subunit ribosomal RNA
Source: RNAcentral
UACGGGGGGGGCAAGCGUUGUUCGGAAUUACUGGGCGUAAAGGGCUCGUAGGCGGCCAACUAAGUCAGACGUGAAAUCCCUCGGCUUAACCGGGGAACUGCAUCUGAUACUGGAUGGCUUGAGAUUGGGAGAGGGAUGCGGAAUUCCAGGUGUAGCGGUGAAAUGCGUAGAUAUCUGGAGGAAUACCGGUGGCGAAGGCGGCAUCCUGGACCAUAACUGACGCUGAGGCGCGAAAGCAUGGGGAGCGAACAGG